GCUGGGUGUGGUGGUGCGCACCUGUAAUCCUGGUACUCAGGAGGCUGAGGAAGGAGGAUUUAAGUAAGCAAGCAAUUUAAAAAUUAAGUAAGUUUACUUAC
This 101-nucleotide small RNA is filed under the name Marmota monax (woodchuck). The record is from RNAcentral. Lineage: Eukaryota; Metazoa; Chordata; Mammalia; Rodentia; Sciuridae.